GCAUAGUGCCCUCUUGGUGUUAACGCUUAAUAGGGAAACCGGUGUAAAUCCGGUACGGUCUCGCCGCUGUAAUGUGGAGCCGCUUCAAUAUGUCACUGAAUUGUAUGAUUUGGGAAGGCGAAGUAGGCUGUGAAGCUAAGUCAGAAGACCUGCCUUGAGG
Molecule: non-coding RNA, 160 nt
Filed under: uncultured Veillonella sp.
Lineage: Bacteria; Bacillati; Bacillota; Negativicutes; Veillonellales; Veillonellaceae
Source: RNAcentral